Molecule: transfer RNA, 70 nt
Filed under: Barbatia virescens
Lineage: Eukaryota; Metazoa; Mollusca; Bivalvia; Arcoida; Arcidae
Description: tRNA-Asn
Rfam family: tRNA
About the family: Transfer RNA (tRNA) molecules are approximately 80 nucleotides in length. Their secondary structure includes four short double-helical elements and three loops (D, anti-codon, and T loops).
Source: RNAcentral
CUGGCAAUAGUUUAUAGGUAGAAUGUUUGACUGUUAAUCAGGUGGUGUGAGGAAAGCUUACUUGCUGGGC